RNAcentral lists this long non-coding RNA (493 nucleotides) under Fukomys damarensis (Damara mole-rat). RNAcentral's name for it is "lncRNA (ENSFDAG00000032331.1)". Lineage: Eukaryota; Metazoa; Chordata; Mammalia; Rodentia; Bathyergidae. The record is from RNAcentral.
GUCUCGUCAGAAGAAGUGGCCACUGGGGGCCUGGUCUGGAAGAGUUAUCUCCUUCCCCAACCUCUCCCUCUGCUCUGUUUUUCCAGGCCACCAUUGCCCAGAGAAGUUCUUUUCCACCCACCCAGGACUUUCCAGCAUACCUUCCUUCUUGCAGCCAAAUAAGAUUCUCCACCUUUGAGUUGCGGGUGUCAGGUAUUUUAUCUCCGCAAUGAGAAAAGUGACCAAGACAACUGACUUUGUUAUUUGGCUGUGAAUUUUCAGAGACAUGAGAUCAAUGUCACAGUCAGGAAAAUGUAGAUUUGGAGCCUGUCAAGAUUCUUCAGCGUCAUGUGGCCUGUGGCACAGCUGGUUCCUGCUGAUUACUCCUUCCACUGUCAGAGGUGCCAGUGAGGUGUGUGCAUACAUCUGUGGAGCCGUUCUCCUGGAGACAAGCACACGGGACACAAGGGAAGAGACAGUGAGUACUGAUGUGCGAGUCGUGAAAAAUGCAAAG